This 253-nucleotide ribosomal RNA is filed under the name uncultured bacterium. RNAcentral's name for it is "partial 16S ribosomal RNA". It matches the Rfam family "Bacterial small subunit ribosomal RNA", at positions 524 to 776 of the family's 1533-position model. The record is from RNAcentral.
UACAGAGGGGGCAAGCGUUGUUCGGAAUUACUGGGCGUAAAGGGCGCGUAGGCGGCCUUCUAAGUCGAACGUGAAAUCCCUGGGCUCAACCCAGGAACUGCGUCCGAUACUGGAAGGCUUGAAUCCGGGAGAGGGAUGCAGAAUUCCAGGUGUAGCGGUGAAAUGCGUAGAUAUCUGGAGGAAUACCGGUGGCGAAGGCGGCAUCCCGGACCGGCAUUGACGCUGAGGAGCGAAAGCUAGGGUAGCAAACGGG